GCGCCCGUAGCUCAACUGGAUAGAGUGCCGGCCUACGAAGCCAGAGGUUACAGGUUCGACUCCUGUCGGGCGUA
Non-coding RNA from Planctomycetes bacterium GWF2_41_51, 74 nucleotides. The record is from Rfam. Lineage: Bacteria; Pseudomonadati; Planctomycetota.